This 970-nucleotide non-coding RNA is filed under the name Dendrocoptes medius medius. Its description in RNAcentral is "Dendrocopos medius medius partial 12S ribosomal RNA". It matches the Rfam family "Bacterial small subunit ribosomal RNA". Lineage: Eukaryota; Metazoa; Chordata; Aves; Piciformes; Picidae. The record is from RNAcentral.
AAAAGACUCAGUCCUAACCUUACUAUUAAUUCUUGCCAGACCUAUACAUGCAAGUAUCUGCAUCCCAGUGUAAAUGCCCCCAACCCCUUACCAAGACAAGAGGAGCAGGUAUCAGGCACACCCCCCUUCGUAGCCCAAAACGCCUUGCUUAGCCACACCCCCACGGGUACUCAGCAGUAACUAACAUUAAGCAAUGAGCGCAAGCUCGACUUAGUCAUGGCAACGUCAGGGUUGGUAAAUCUUGUGCCAGCCACCGCGGUCACACAAGAAACCCAAAUUAAUCGUAUACGGCGUAAAGAGUGACUUAAUACUAUCGCCCCAUUUGAGGCCAAAAUAUGCCCAAGCUGUCAUAAGCCCAAGGCACACCUAAGCCCCCAUUCUCCUCAACCCCAGCGAUUGACCAACCUCACGAAAGCCAGGGGACAAACUGGGAUUAGAUACCCCACUAUGCCUGGCCGUAAAUUCAAAUGCUUUCCCUCCACCCAAGCAUUCGCCAGGGAACUACGAGCACAAACGCUUAAAACCCUAAGGACUUGGCGGUGUCCCAAACCCACCUAGAGGAGCCUGUUCUAUAAUCGAUAACCCACGUUACACCCAACCCCCCCUCGCCCCAAGCAGCCUACAUACCGCCGUCGCCAGCUCACCUCACCUGAGAGCUCAAUAGUGAGCACAACAGCCUCACCCGCUAAAAAGACAGGUCAAGGUAUAGCCCAUGGGGGGGGAAGAAAUGGGCUACAUUUUCUGACCCAGAAGACAACGAAAGAGGGCCUGAAAACCAGCCCUCAGAAGGCGGAUUUAGCAGUAAAACAUGACCAUCAUGCUUGUCUAAACUGGCCCUGGGACACGUACAUACCGCCCGUCACCCUCCUCACAAGCAACCCCCCCCCACCCUUCCAAUCAAAACCACAAUUCGCCAAAGAUGAGGUAAGUCGUAACAAGGUAAGUGUACCGGAAGGUGCACUUAGCAAAC